CAUGCAAGUCUACUUGAUCCUUCGGGUGAAGGUGGCGGACGGGUGAGUAACGCGUAAAGAACUUGCCUUACAGACUGGGACAACAUUUGGAAACGAAUGCUAAUACCGGAUAUUAUGACUGAGUCGCAUGAUUUGGUUAUGAAAGCUAUAUGCGCUGUGAGAGAGCUUUGCGUCCCAUUAGUUAGUUGGUGAGGUAACGGCUCACCAAGACGAUGAUGGGUAGCCGGCCUGAGAGGGUGAACGGCCACAAGGGGACUGAGACACGGCCCUUACUCCUACGGGAGGCAGCAGUGGGGAAUAUUGGACAAUGGACCAAAAGUCUGAUCCAGCAAUUCUGUGUGCACGAUGAAGUUUUUCGGAAUGUAAAGUGCUUUCAGUUGGGAAGAAGUCAGUGACGGUACCAACAGAAGAAGCGACGGCUAAAUACGUGCCAGCAGCCGCGGUAAUACGUAUGUCGCAAGCGUUAUCCGGAUUUAUUGGGCGUAAAGCGCGUCUAGGCGGUUUAGUAAGUCUGAUGUGAAAAUGCGGGGCUCAACCCCGUAAUGCGUUGGAAAACUGUUAAACUAGAGUACUGGAGAGGUAGGCGGAACUANCAAGUGUAGAGGUGAAAAUUCGUAGAUAUUUUGUAAGGAAAUGCCGAUGGGGAAGCCAGCCUACUGGACAGAUACUGACGCUAAAGCGCGAAAGCGUGGGUAGCAAACAGGAUUAGAUACCCUGGUAGUCCACGCCGUAAAACGAUGAUUACUAGGUGUUGGGGGUCGAAACCUCAGCGCCCAAGCUAACGCGAUAAGUAAUCCGCCUGGGGAGUACGUACGCAAGUAUGAAACUCAAAGGAAUUGACGGGGAACCCCACAAGCGGUGGAGCAUGUGGUUUAAUUCGACGCAACGCGAGGAACCUUACCAGCGUUUGACAUCCCAAGAAGUUAACAGAGAUGUUUUCGUGCCUCUUCGGAGGAACUUGGUGACAGGUGGUGCAUGGCUGUCGUCAGCUCGUGUCGUGAGAUGUUGGGUUAAGUCCCGCAACGAGCGCAACCCCUUUCGUAUGUUACCAUCAUUAAGUUGGGGACUCAUGCGAGACUGCCUGCGAUGAGCAGGAGGAAGGUGGGGAUGACGUCAAGUCAUCAUGCCCCUUAUACGCUGGGCUACACACGUGCUACAAUGGGUAGUACAGAGAGCUGCAAACCUGCGAGGGUAAGCUAAUCUCAUAAAACUAUUCUUAGUUCGGAUUGUACUCUGCAACUCGAGUACAUGAAGUUGGAAUCGCUAGUAAUCGCAAAUCAGCUAUGUUGCGGUGAAUACGUUCUCGGGUCUUGUACACACCGCCCGUCACACCACGAGAGUUGGUUGCACCCUGAAGUAAUCAGGCCUAACCGUAAGGAGGGAUGUUCCGAGGGUG
RNAcentral lists this ribosomal RNA (1396 nucleotides) under bacterium NLAE-zl-P548. RNAcentral describes it as "16S ribosomal RNA". It matches the Rfam family "Bacterial small subunit ribosomal RNA". The record is from RNAcentral.